GUUUUUGGCUGCAUUACCACUUUGGGAUGAUUUUCUAGAUAAGGUCCUGCUUAAUCCUUCAUGGAGAAGUGGAGCAGCAAGAGAUGAUUGAGAUGUUUUACCAACAGCUAAAUCACUUCCACUUGACGAAGCAGUAUUUAAGGCAGGAGAUCCUCUACUUUCGGCAGAACCAAAUGUAACCAUCUCCUGGCCUCCUAAGCCUCUGGAGGCAGGUUCUGCAGAAAAAUCCAUGAAACAGCGAGUAAAUAAAGAUGUCGUCUCAGAAAGAUAGGAAGCAGCAUCAUUGAGAGCCGGCACAGAGGUAAGUAGCUGAGGGAUAACCCUAUUGUUU
RNAcentral lists this unclassified non-coding RNA (331 nucleotides) under Hevea brasiliensis (rubber tree). The record is from RNAcentral. Lineage: Eukaryota; Viridiplantae; Streptophyta; Magnoliopsida; Malpighiales; Euphorbiaceae.